ACUCCACAGAAGUUCAUCCCUGUGGCCUCUCUUCCUCUGAGGUACAGGGUGUUCUGUCUUGCAGCCUCCCCUCAACCCUGCCCCUGGGGGUGCUUGGACCUGGCUCUGGACCUGUGCUCCAGGAAUUACCUGAAACAUGGAAGAAUCUUAAAAAGAUUGACUUCACUGUAAAGCAUGAAGCGGUACCUCUACAGUCCAAAGAAGUGUUGGUUAUCAGAAGAAAAUGUGUACUUUUGGAGCGGCCUAAUUGACGAGUCCAGCAAUUUUCUGUGAAGUGUUGACAGCGAGCAGACCUUUGUUUGCAGAGAAAAGGAUGCGAUCCUCGGUACAUUGCAGAGGCCCGGCACUCACAGUCCCCUAUUAGCUUUGUGCAUUACUGACCUCCACAGGCAUUUCAGGGGAAGACACAGCAGGAAGAGACGAAGAUUGCUCAACUGAAUGCCCUUAUAAACAUGCUGUUAAGGGAACUCACCCCUGGUGAUCAUCAGAACAUCAUGACAAUAUGCACAAUUGAUGUACAUGCGAGGGAUGUUGUAGCCACGGUUAUAGCACAGAAGAAAUCCCAUUGCUAACCUUUGUUCUCUAAAGAAGGAUGUCAAAGUAUAUUGAGAGGCAUUGAUUCACCAUUUUAGUCCUGAGUUAAGAGCGACAGACUGGGUAAUAUCACCUCAAUAGUGCUUAUGCUGACCACUACUGUGUGUAAAGCAAAAAUGUCCAACUUCAAAGCUUACAGUAAGGCUUGUUCUUGAUGGCAGUGUAAACAACCUAAGAAAAUCAUAUUCUGCAGUUGCUUCUAAAGUGCUACAACCCUAAAAGCAUGAACAAAUAUAACAUAAAACUGUGAAACAUGUUUGUUUCUUCAGCUUAAUGCAAUGCUAUCACUCUCCAAGUAUAAUUUUGUAAGUUUGGAAAUAGUUAUAAGAGCAAUACCUUCCUUGCAUGUGACAACAACAGCUGAUGAGAAAAGCAGGGAAGUUUGAUCACUUAGAUUUCACCAACUGGGAAGAGGGAGCUAUCAAUUCUCUUAGUAAAGCUGUGGGAUCAAUCUGUUGGAGAGGUGUAAAAGAAAAAAAAAGGAGGGUGACUCAUGGAGUGGAAAGUGGAAAGAGAAAGCAUCUUGAUCAGGAAAGGACAAAAGAAAUAGUCUGAUUCCUCAGAAGCCAAUGGAGGCAGGCCUGCAAGCAAAGUACAAGGUGAGCAGUUUACAGCAAUAACAAGAAAUACUGCAGGGUUAGAGGAUCAUGCAGAGAUGGUCACAGAAGAAAGCAGAAGUACUGCAGUGCU
Zonotrichia albicollis (white-throated sparrow) is the source of this 1284-nucleotide non-coding RNA. Lineage: Eukaryota; Metazoa; Chordata; Aves; Passeriformes; Passerellidae. The record is from RefSeq and is a predicted model, not a curated record.